This 595-nucleotide ribosomal RNA is filed under the name adapted facultatively oligotrophic bacteria PAF-1. RNAcentral's name for it is "bacterial SSU rRNA". It matches the Rfam family "Bacterial small subunit ribosomal RNA", at positions 58 to 647 of the family's 1533-position model. The record is from RNAcentral. Lineage: Bacteria; Pseudomonadati; Pseudomonadota; Gammaproteobacteria.
CAAGUCGAGCGGUAACAGAGAGGUGCUUGCACCUUUGCUGACGAGCGGCGGACGGGUGAGUAAUGCUUGGGAACAUGCCUUGAGGUGGGGGACAACAGUUGGAAACGACUGCUAAUACCGCAUAAUGUCUACGGACCAAAGGGGGCUUCGGCUCUCGCCUUUAUAUUGGCCCAAGUGGGAUUAGCUAGUUGGUGAGGUAAUGGCUCACCAAGGCAACGAUCCCUAGCUUGGUUUGAGAGGAUGAUCAGCCACACUGGGACUGAGACACGGCCCAGACUCCUACGGGAGGCAGCAGUGGGGAAUAUUGCACAAUGGGCGCAAGCCUGAUGCAGCCAUGCCGCGUGUGUGAAGAAGGCCUUCGGGUUGUAAAGCACUUUCAGUCAGGAGGAAAGGUUAGUAGUUAAUACCUGCUAGCUGUGACGUUACUGACAGAAGAAGCACCGGCUAACUCCGUGCCAGCAGCCGCGGUAAUACGGAGGGUGCGAGCGUUAAUCGGAAUUACUGGGCGUAAAGCGUACGCAGGCGGUUUGUUAAGCGAGAUGUGAAAGCCCCGGGCUCAACCUGGGAACUGCAUUUCGAACUGGCAAACUAGAGU